RNAcentral lists this long non-coding RNA (801 nucleotides) under Oncorhynchus mykiss (rainbow trout). RNAcentral's name for it is "lncRNA (ENSOMYG00000007412.2)". Lineage: Eukaryota; Metazoa; Chordata; Actinopteri; Salmoniformes; Salmonidae. The record is from RNAcentral.
AUGAGUAUCGACGGGCAGAUUUGGCAAGGCAAUGAGCUGUUGUUCACAGCUCGCCAAUGGGAGGAGUCCCUAAACCUCACAUGCACUGCAAGGAAUGAUGACUCUGGGAGGUCCUCUACAGUAACAAAGAUACUGCAGGUUUUAGCUGGACCUACCAACAUAUCGAUCACAGGCCCUGCCCUGAUGACCCCAGGGGCCCCUCAAAGCUUCCAGUGUAACGCAGACUGCCGUCCCUCCUGCAACUACACCUGGAAGAUAAAGGGUCGAUGGCUCGGGGGGCAGGGGAACAAGAUUACUGUAACUCCCGAAGAGUUGGCCACCUCUGCUACCCUGAACUGCAAGGCCAUCAACAGUGUGUCCGGGCUCUAUGCCAUGGCAACCAGGACAAUUCCUGUAACAUCUGGUCCAUCAGAGGUCCACGUCAUCGGCCCAGACUCUGUUGCAGUCGGCUUCAAGUCCAUGUUUCAGUGCACUGCCAAAUGCACUCCCGCUUGUGACUACCGCUGGACCAUUGAUGGUCACACUGUCCACGGUAGUGAGAUGGAGAUGACGGUCGAGCGAAAUGUGAAGUCAGAGAAGAUUAUGUGCCACGCUCAGAAUACGGUCUCAACUCAUUUUGAGGUGGUCACCAAGUCCAUACGGGUGGAAGAAAAUGACAAAAAUAAGAUCCUCUCCAAAAAAUAUGGUUGUCAAGCUGUGUCCAGUUUGUGUUUGUCCAAGAAGACCAUCUCUGGGAGGAAGCAUCAGCAUUGUACAGCAGCUGAAACCUGGUCCCGAUUGAGUCCGAACAUACCUUGCUGA